UGGGGAAUCUUGCUCAAUGGGCGAAAGCCUGAAGCAGCGACGCCGCGUGGAGGAUGACGGUCUUCGGAUUGUAAACUCCUGUUAAGUGGGAAGAAAUCGUAACCUCUAAUACAGGUUGCGGAUGACGGUACCGCUAAAGAAAGCACCGGCUAACUUCGUGCCAGCAGCCGCGGUAAUACGAGGGGUGCAAGCGUUAUGCGGAAUCACUGGGCGUACAGGGCGCGUAGACGGUAUGUUAAGUCUGUUGUUAAAUAUUCCGGCCUAACCGGAAAGAUGCGGCGGAAACUGAUGUGCUAGAGGAUGGAAGAGAGAAGUGGAAUUCUCGGAGUAGCGGUAAAAUGCGUAGAUCUCGGGAGGAACACCAAUGGCGAAGGCAGCUUCUUGGUCCAUACCUGACGUUGAGGCGCGAAAGCGUGGGGAGCAAACAGG
Molecule: ribosomal RNA, 429 nt
Filed under: uncultured bacterium
Lineage: Bacteria
Description: bacterial SSU rRNA
Rfam family: Bacterial small subunit ribosomal RNA
Source: RNAcentral